RNAcentral lists this ribosomal RNA (372 nucleotides) under uncultured organism. RNAcentral describes it as "bacterial SSU rRNA". It matches the Rfam family "Bacterial small subunit ribosomal RNA", at positions 526 to 896 of the family's 1533-position model. The record is from RNAcentral.
CAGAGGGUGCGAGCGUUGUUCGGAAUUAUUGGGCGUAAAGCGCGAGUAGGCGGUCUGUUAAGUCGCGUGUGAAAGCUCCCAGCUCAACUGGGAAAGUGCGCGCGAAACUGGUGGACUUGAGUGCUGGAGAGGGUGGCGGAAUUCCCGGUGUAGAGGUGAAAUUCGUAGAUAUCGGGAGGAACACCAGAGGCGAAGGCGGCCACCUGGAAAGUCACUGACGCUGAGAAGCGAAAGCGUGGGGAGCAAACAGGAUUAGAUACCCUGGUAGUCCACGCCGUAAACGAUGAGUGCUAGCUGUGGCGGGAGUUGACCCCUGCCGUGGCGACGCUAACGCAAUAAGCACUCCGCCUGGGGAGUACGGCCGCAAGGUUA